This 253-nucleotide ribosomal RNA is filed under the name uncultured bacterium. RNAcentral describes it as "partial 16S ribosomal RNA". It matches the Rfam family "Bacterial small subunit ribosomal RNA", at positions 524 to 776 of the family's 1533-position model. The record is from RNAcentral.
UACGGAGGGGGCUAGCGUUGUUCGGAAUUACUGGGCGUAAAGCGCACGUAGGCGGAUUGGAAAGUCAGAGGUGAAAUCCCAGGGCUCAACCUUGGAACUGCCUUUGAAACUCCCAGUCUUGAGUUCGAGAGAGGUGAGUGGAAUUCCGAGUGUAGAGGUGAAAUUCGUAGAUAUUCGGAGGAACACCAGUGGCGAAGGCGGCUCACUGGCUCGAUACUGACGCUGAGGCACGAAAGCGUGGGGAGCAAACAGG